CAGCAGCCGCGGGAAUACGAGGGGGGCAAGCGUUGUUCGGAAUUAUUGGGCGUAAAGGGUGCGUAGGCGGUUUGAUAAGUCUUGUGUGAAAUCUCUGGGCUCAACCCAGAGUCUGCACAGGAAACUGUCGGGCUUGAGAGUGGGAGAGGUGAGUGGAAUUUCCGGUGUAGCGGUGAAAUGCGUAGAUAUCGGAAGGAACACCUGUGGCGAAAGCGGCUCACUGGACCAUUUCUGACGCUGAUGCACGAAAGCUAGGGGAGCAAACAGGAUUAGAUACCCCCGUAGUCCCUGUCUCUUAUAC
Molecule: ribosomal RNA, 301 nt
Filed under: uncultured bacterium
Lineage: Bacteria
Description: partial 16S ribosomal RNA
Rfam family: Bacterial small subunit ribosomal RNA
Source: RNAcentral